Molecule: ribosomal RNA, 460 nt
Filed under: uncultured bacterium
Lineage: Bacteria
Description: partial 16S ribosomal RNA
Rfam family: Bacterial small subunit ribosomal RNA
Source: RNAcentral
CCUACGGGAGGCAGCAGUGAGGCAUAUUGGUCAAUGGACGAGAGUCUGAACCAGCCAAGUAGCGUGAAGGAUGACUGCCCUAUGGGUUGUCAACUUCUUUUAUAUGGGAAUAAAAUGUUCCACGUGUGGGAUUUUGUAUGUACCAUAUGAAUAAGGAUCGGCUAACUCCGUGCCAGCAGCCGCGGUAAUACGGAGGAGCCGAGCGUUAUCCGGAUUUAUUGGGUUUAAAUGGAGCGUAGGUGGAUUGUUAAGUCAGUUGUGAAAGUUUGCGGCUCAACCGUAAAAUUGCAGUUGAUACUUGCAGUCAUGAGUACAGUAGAGGUGGGCGGAAUUCGGGGUGUAGCGGUGAAAUGCUUAGAUAUCACGAAGAACUCCGAUUGCGAAGGCAGCUCACUGGACUGCAACUGACACUGAGGCUCGAAAGUGUGGGUAUCAAACAGGAUUAGAUACCCGUGUAGUC